This 440-nucleotide ribosomal RNA is filed under the name uncultured bacterium. RNAcentral's name for it is "partial 16S ribosomal RNA". It matches the Rfam family "Bacterial small subunit ribosomal RNA", at positions 338 to 795 of the family's 1533-position model. The record is from RNAcentral.
CCUACGGGAGGCAGCAGUGGGGGAUAUUGCACAAUGGGGGAAACUCUGAUCCAGCGACGCCGCGUGUGGGAAGACGGCCCUCUGGAUUGUAAACCACUGUCCCCAGGGACGAAGAUGACGGUACCUGGGGAGGAAGCUCCGGUUAACUACGUGCCAGCAGCCGCGGUAAUAGGUAGGGAGCGGGCGUUGUCCGGAAUUACUGGGUGUAAGGGGAGCGUAGGCGGGACUGCAAGUUGGGUGUAAAAUCUUCCGUCUCAACCGGUAGCCGCACUCAAAACUGCAGUUCUUGAGUGAAGUAGAGGCAGGCGGAAUUCCUGGUGUAGCGGUGAAAUGCGUAGAGAUUAGGAGGAACACCAGUGGCGAAGGCGGCCUGCUGGGCUUUUACUGACGCUGAGGCUCGAAAGUGUGGGGAGCAAACAGGAUUAGAUACCCUAGUAGUC